This 75-nucleotide transfer RNA is filed under the name Candidatus Hydromicrobium americanum. RNAcentral's name for it is "Actinobacteria bacterium CG08_land_8_20_14_0_20_35_9 tRNA-Ala". It matches the Rfam family "tRNA". From Rfam's summary of the family: Transfer RNA (tRNA) molecules are approximately 80 nucleotides in length. Their secondary structure includes four short double-helical elements and three loops (D, anti-codon, and T loops). The record is from RNAcentral. Lineage: Bacteria; Bacillati; Actinomycetota; Candidatus Humimicrobiia; Candidatus Humimicrobiales; Candidatus Hydromicrobiaceae.
GGGGAUGUAGUUCAGUGGGAGAACGCUUGUCUGGCAGACAAGAGGGCGGCGGUUCAAGUCCGCUCAUCUCCACCA